UGUCUGUUCUGCAUUGAAAAACACAUGUAAAAAAAGUAAAUUAGUUAUAAUUAGCUGAUAAACUAACAUUGUAAUAAUAAUAAUAAUAUUAAUAAAAAUGAUUCAAUUAAGAUCCUGACAAAAGGCUAUAUAUUUCUUAUGUAGGAGCAUUACUUAAGUUCCUGUCACCACCACUUCUGACAGAAGAUUGUCCAGUCCCUCCUGACAGUGAAAAUGGAGCAUCACUUAAGAUCCUGUCACCACCACUUCUGACAGAAGAUUGUCCAGUCCCUCCUGACAGUGAAAAUGUGACAUAUACCUUGUUGACAUUGGAACAACAACCUGCUAACAAUGAGGAAACACCACUCACUUCUUCCACAUGCAGUAGUGUUGAUCUUGACAAAGGUACUACAAGAUUCCUAAUGUCUCACGACCCUGCAAAAUGGCC
Pimephales promelas (fathead minnow) is the source of this 427-nucleotide non-coding RNA. Lineage: Eukaryota; Metazoa; Chordata; Actinopteri; Cypriniformes; Leuciscidae. The record is from RefSeq and is a predicted model, not a curated record.